RNAcentral lists this ribosomal RNA (588 nucleotides) under uncultured bacterium. RNAcentral's name for it is "bacterial SSU rRNA". It matches the Rfam family "Bacterial small subunit ribosomal RNA", at positions 338 to 916 of the family's 1533-position model. The record is from RNAcentral.
CCUACGGGAGGCAGCAGUGGGGAAUUUUGGACAAUGGGCGCAAGCCUGAUCCAGCCAUGCCGCGUGUGGGAAGAAGGCCUUCGGGUUGUAAACCACUUUUGUCAGGGAAGAAACGGUCUGAACUAAUACUUUGGGCUAAUGACGGUACCUGAAGAAUAAGCACCGGCUAACUACGUGCCAGCAGCCGCGGUAAUACGUAGGGUGCAAGCGUUAAUCGGAAUUACUGGGCGUAAAGCGUGCGCAGGCGGCUUUGCAAGACAGAUGUGAAAUCCCCGGGCUCAACCUGGGAACUGCAUUUGUGACUGCAAGGCUAGAGUACGGCAGAGGGGGGAUGGAAUUCCGCGUGUAGCAGUGAAAUGCGUAGAUAUGCGGAGGAACACCGAUGGCGAAGGCAAUCCCCUGGGCCUGUACUGACGCUCAUGCACGAAAGCGUGGGGAGCAAACAGGAUUAGAUACCCUGGUAGUCCACGCCCUAAACGAUGUCAACUGGUUGUUGGGAGGGUUUCUUCUCAGUAACGAAGCUAACGCGUGAAGUUGACCGCCUGGGGAGUACGGCCGCAAGGUUGAACGUCGAAAGGAAGUUGACGG